Molecule: non-coding RNA, 3134 nt
Organism: Meleagris gallopavo (turkey)
Lineage: Eukaryota; Metazoa; Chordata; Aves; Galliformes; Phasianidae
Source: RefSeq, a predicted model, not a curated record
CUGCAUUUUACAAGAGGAAAUGUGAAAACCUGCCUUUGCCCUUACCACUAACAAAGAUGCUGCCUCCUCUUCACCAACUUCCAGAGGUCUCUGCAGCAUAACAGAGACAGAAAUAGAGAAACCUUCCUGAUGCAGGUAGCCAUCACAAGAGUAUGUUUUCACCAGACUCUGUGACUCUGCUCUCCUAUCAACAUUUUGUCUCAGCCUGAAAGUGAAUGCUGACAACAAGGUAAGCCAAGAAGCUGAUCAGACUGAUAAUUUGCACCAGGCCUCCCUCCCCUAGAGAAUAUUUAGGCAGGGAGAUGAAUAUGCAGAAGAAUGUUUAAAUUAAAAAAAAAAAAGUCCGUAAACUCAAAAGCUGAGAACAUCAUGAUGGGAACAAUAUUCCAAGUUGAUAGCUCAGAUAAAGUGUGCAAACAGAUCCAGAAACCUAGGCAUCUGUAAGAAUUGUCAAGUCCUCUAACUGUCAGAGGUUAUACUGGGUACUUGCAAUCAGGUACACAGGGAAACAGGUUUCCAUGACAUCAGUACAUAGGUUUUCCAUGGAAGCUAGUGGCAGCAAAAUUAAAUGAAGCUCCCUUAAAUGUCCUGUUUUAUUUCAAACACUGAAAAAUGUCUGCUGAAACUUUAGCUCCUUGCAGAGAUUUCAUGUCAAACAGGACAGGGUUUUUGAAGGAGAACUGUCCUUGGAGAACUCUCCUAUGGAGAUCAACCAUACCGUGUGUAUGCUGAGCCUUACAUUCCUGGCCUCUUUCAAGGUUCACGAUUAGAUUAUUUGCUAAGAAUGGAUGGAAAAUGACAGCAUUCGAUUGCAGAGUGGACCAUUUAUCUGACAUGGGAAAGUAGCUAUGUAAUAUCAGAUGCAUCAGUACUAACAAAUACACUGAUCACUUUAAACUGGUAAAGAUGCUGGGCUGGGAAAUUAGGUUCUUAAUGCUUUCUAAAUCAAAAUUAGAAAGAUAAAUAAAUCCAGUGUCUCUCAGUGGGAACCAGUUUGCUAUGCUUCAGACCAGGUUUGCUACAGAAGCUACACAGGUGAAAGCUUGCAGACAGAUGCCAGAUUCAAACAUGCAGGGACUAAUGGAUGCAGGCAUCCAUAUUUGUUGGUGAGAAGCCUACCGUCAGCCAGUCCAAUCCGAAGAUUGUACAGAGCAGAGCUGAUAUUUAAAGAGAUCAGAGAAGACCAGCUACCAAAAUUCUGAUAAUGUUUUCUUGUGAGCUAGGAGGAUUUGAAGGUGGCUGCUCAAAGAAAAGAACAUGCAUUUUCAUGCACUUAGAUGCACAUAAACCAAGGUAUGUAUUACCAAGUAUGGGAGCACAUUCUUUGAGAUUCUGAAUUCAGACAUGUUCCUCAGGUAUGUGCUGAUUGUGUUUCAGGGCAUAAAACCACCUCCUCUUGCAGACUCACUGCAGAAUAAGUCGGGUGUAUGAGUAGGGCAGCUUUGGCGAGCUUCAACUAGCUCCCCUGUGACCAAAUGGAAUAUGAAGAUUUGAAUACAGUCAGAAAGGCUUCACUCUUUGUUUCUGACUGGAGAUGAACCAAGAAAACCUGAUCUGGGAAUUCCAGUUACAUGCAAUAAUGAUGGGACACAGUGAUAAAGUUCGGAUAGAUUCACUUUCAAAGCUCCAGCACAUCUUUUCUGGGAAACUCCUACAUCAGUCUGUUUCACUUGCGCAGCUUGUUACUUUACUGAAUCAUUGACAUGGACUUCCCAGGCUUCCGAAGAAGCCUGUGGCAGUUGUUGUUUUUCAAUGUAUUAUUUUUUUUACCAUUUUCAAGGGACAAAUGAAUGCUUAAAAUGUGCGGAGGGAGCAUUUGGAAACAAGGACUAUCAGUGGUGUAGCCUGCCUUAGUAGUCAGCUUAUCUUCAGAGCUGAGGCCAUGUAACAGCUAAAUGAUAGCAGGUGAGCCCAGUUGUGCCACAGAUACAUGCUAACACAGACAUGCUGAGGGUGCAAGAACACUCAUACUGCUGUAAAUAAUAUGAAAGUAAGGGGGAAUAACAAUUUUUGAAUUGCCACAGCUCAUUGUUUUCUCUAAGAAAAAAACAAUGAAGGAGGGUUCUAGAAGGGCUUUGUCUGAGGAUGUACUCUUCCAUAUAUGACAGCAAAAGGAAAAUUCUUGUGAGAACAAGUUCUUAGCAAGGCAUUAAUAGCAAUCCCCUCCACUCCUACAUGGUCAGUUGUUUUGAAUCUCCUUUACCCAGGAGCCAUCACACAGAUCUGAACAACACAGUGCGCAUACACCACAGUGACUUGUCCUGGCAAAGAUUAGGUGAACCCAGGCCGUGGCCGCACCCUGCUGGAAGCCCAUGUGUCCCACCCAGAUAACAGGCAUUUUCUCCAAGACAAGGCCUUGCUGAACUGCCAAGCAUACUGUGGGAAGCAGACUAUGACAAGGUUUUGGUUUUAGAAAUACUAUUAUUAGUAAGACACAUUUUGAAACUGCAUCGUCAUUUAGUUGUGUGUCUUUGUGUACCAGCUGGCAUUUUUUAAAAUCAGUUUAUCCCCUUUUCCCCUCUGAAAUACACACAACUCUGCAGGAGGGUGGCUGUGCACAGGUAUUCACCUGCCAUCCCAGUCUGUCCUCACCUAGCUGGAUUGUUCUCUUGUUCAGAAGCCUCCAGCACUUACCGAGCAGAAGAUACCACAGAUGGUACUGGAAAGAUACAAACUGAACCUCCUAUCAGCGGGGAAGAGACUGUGUUCAUCUAACUUCAGCUGCCUUCAAGUUGCAUGUCUGCCAUCAACCAUUUCAUGGGCUCCCCCUCCAGUCAAUGGAGUGACUCCAGAGCAUGAUUCACCACAUCCUAAGAAUAGAGCUGGAGAUCAGUAAAGCAGGAGGCCCAAAGCCAGCAACAGUUUAAAGCGCUGCUAUGGGUGCUCGAGAGGCUGGUGUGGUGUACCAUUCUGCCAUGCAAACCAGACACGUUUCCCUUCACAUAGGUCACAUAAUGUUCACUUUUAGUGUUGUUCUUCCACUCAGCGCCCUAAGGAGAAACCUGCUGAAGUACUCAGGUUUCUUGAUAGGUGAAGAAGAAUUAAUCCAGCAACCUUCACAAAACAUUUGUUUUACAACAAGCACAAAAUUUGUGGGAAAAUAAAGUAAACUGUGUAAGGAAAUAAACAUUCAU